Molecule: ribosomal RNA, 1374 nt
Filed under: uncultured bacterium
Lineage: Bacteria
Description: bacterial SSU rRNA
Rfam family: Bacterial small subunit ribosomal RNA
Source: RNAcentral
GAUGAACGCUGGCGGCGUGCCUAAUACAUGCAAGUCGAGCGAACGGACGAGAAGCUUGCUUCUCUGAUGUUAGCGGCGGACGGGUGAGUAACACGUGGAUAACCUACCUAUAAGACUGGGAUAACUUCGGGAAACCGGAGCUAAUACCGGAUGAUAUUUUGAACCGCAUGGUUCAAAAGUGAAGGACGGUCUUGCUGUCACUUAUAGAUGGAUCCGCGCUGCAUUAGCUAGUUGGUAAGGUAACGGCUUACCAAGGCAACGAUGCAUAGCCGACCUGAGAGGGUGAUCGGCCACACUGGAACUGAGACACGGUCCAGACUCCUACGGGAGGCAGCAGUAGGGAAUCUUCCGCAAUGGGCGAAAGCCUGACGGAGCAACGCCGCGUGAGUGAUGAAGGUCUUCGGAUCGUAAAACUCUGUUAUUAGGGAAGAACAUAUGUGUAAGUAACUGUGCACAUCUUGACGGUACCUAAUCAGAAAGCCACGGCUAACUACGUGCCAGCAGCCGCGGUAAUACGUAGGUGGCAAGCGUUAUCCGGAAUUAUUGGGCGUAAAGCGCGCGUAGGCGGGUUUUUAAGUCUGAUGUGAAAGCCCACGGCUCAACCGUGGAGGGUCAUUGGAAACUGGAAAACUUGAGUGCAGAAGAGGAAAGUGGAAUUCCAUGUGUAGCGGUGAAAUGCGCAGAGAUAUGGAGGAACACCAGUGGCGAAGGCGACUUUCUGGUCUGUAACUGACGCUGAUGUGCGAAAGCGUGGGGAUCAAACAGGAUUAGAUACCCUGGUAGUCCACGCCGUAAACGAUGAGUGCUAAGUGUUAGGGGGUUUCCGCCCCUUAGUGCUGCAGCUAACGCAUUAAGCACUCCGCCUGGGGAGUACGACCGCAAGGUUGAAACUCAAAGGAAUUGACGGGGACCCGCACAAGCGGUGGAGCAUGUGGUUUAAUUCGAAGCAACGCGAAGAACCUUACCAAAUCUUGACAUCCUUUGACAACUCUAGAGAUAGAGCCUUCCCCUUCGGGGGGGACAAAGUGACAGGUGGUGCAUGGUUGUCGUCAGCUCGUGUCGUGAGAUGUUGGGUUAAGUCCCGCAACGAGCGCAACCCUUAAGCUUAGUUGCCAUCAUUAAGUUGGGCACUCUAAGUUGACUGCCGGUGACAAACCGGAGGAAGGUGGGGAUGACGUCAAAUCAUCAUGCCCCUUAUGAUUUGGGCUACACACGUGCUACAAUGGACAAUACAAAGGGCAGCGAAACCGCGAGGUCAAGCAAAUCCCAUAAAGUUGUUCUCAGUUCGGAUUGUAGUCUGCAACUCGACUACAUGAAGCUGGAAUCGCUAGUAAUCGUAGAUCAGCAUGCUACGGUGAAUACGUUCCCGGGUCU